RNAcentral lists this ribosomal RNA (250 nucleotides) under uncultured prokaryote. Its description in RNAcentral is "partial 16S ribosomal RNA". It matches the Rfam family "Bacterial small subunit ribosomal RNA", at positions 524 to 773 of the family's 1533-position model. The record is from RNAcentral.
UACGUAGGGGGCAAGCGUUAUCCGGAUUUACUGGGUGUAAAGGGGGCGCAGGCGGGGAAGCAAGUCAGCGGUGAAAUCUAUGGGCUUAACCCAUAAACUGCCGUUGAAACUGUUUUUCUUGAGUGAAGUAGAGGCAAGCGGAAUUCCGAGUGUAGCGGUGAAGUGCGUAGAUAUUCGGAGGAACACCAGUGGCGAAGGCGGCUUGCUGGGCUUCAACUGACGCUGAGGCCCGAAAGUGUGGGGAGCAAAC